GCCGGGUUAGCUCAGCUGGCAGAGCAACGCACUUGUAAUGCGUAGGUCAAGGGUUCGAUUCCCUUACCCGGCUCCA
Molecule: transfer RNA, 76 nt
Filed under: Acidimicrobiaceae bacterium
Lineage: Bacteria; Bacillati; Actinomycetota; Acidimicrobiia; Acidimicrobiales; Acidimicrobiaceae
Also listed under: 2 other names
Description: tRNA-Thr
Rfam family: tRNA
About the family: Transfer RNA (tRNA) molecules are approximately 80 nucleotides in length. Their secondary structure includes four short double-helical elements and three loops (D, anti-codon, and T loops).
Source: RNAcentral